This 353-nucleotide non-coding RNA is filed under the name Stegodyphus mimosarum. RNAcentral's name for it is "Eukaryotic large subunit ribosomal RNA". It matches the Rfam family "Eukaryotic large subunit ribosomal RNA", at positions 1893 to 2310 of the family's 3401-position model. The record is from Rfam by way of RNAcentral. Lineage: Eukaryota; Metazoa; Arthropoda; Arachnida; Araneae; Eresidae.
GAACAAUGUAGGUAAGGGAAGUCGGCAAGUUCGAUCCGUAACUUCGGGACAAGGAUUGGCUCUGAGGACUGGGCCCGUCGGGCUGGGGUCCGAAGCGGGUGUGGCACUGCACCGGGACUGGGCGAGACUGGCCGUGAAAGCGGUCCGGUCCGGCCCGGACCAGCGUCGGGGCCUUCCCGUGGAAUGCCUCAGCUGCGCGGCGCACCGGGCACAAAGCUCGAAGCGACCGUUUCGGCGGGCAACUAACAGCCGACUCAGAACUGGCACGGACUAAGGGAAUCCGACAGGGCUGUAAUAUUUGGUGGCAACAGUUUGAAAAAUGAACCGACAUUUAAUGUUUCCGACGCAAAAUC